AGCGAACGCUGGCGGCAGGCUUAACACAUGCAAGUCGAGCGGGCACUUCGGUGUCAGCGGCAGACGGGUGAGUAACACGUGGGAACGUACCCUUCGGUUCGGAAUAACGCUGGGAAACUAGCGCUAAUACCGGAUACGCCCUUUUGGGGAAAGGUUUACUGCCGAAGGAUCGGCCCGCGUCUGAUUAGCUAGUUGGUGGGGUAAUGGCCUACCAAGGCGACGAUCAGUAGCUGGUCUGAGAGGAUGAUCAGCCACACUGGGACUGAGACACGGCCCAGACUCCUACGGGAGGCAGCAGUGGGGAAUAUUGGACAAUGGGCGCAAGCCUGAUCCAGCCACGCCGCGUGAGUGAUGAAGGCCUUAGGGUUGUAAAGCUCUUUUGUCCGGGACGAUAAUGACGGUACCGGAAGAAUAAGCCCCGGCUAACUUCGUG
This 433-nucleotide ribosomal RNA is filed under the name uncultured bacterium. Its description in RNAcentral is "partial 16S ribosomal RNA". It matches the Rfam family "Bacterial small subunit ribosomal RNA", at positions 29 to 507 of the family's 1533-position model. The record is from RNAcentral.